AUGCAUGUCUAAGUAUAAGCACUUGUACUGUGAAACUGCGAAUGGCUCAUUAAAUCAGUUAUCGUUUAUUUGAUUGUACAUUACUACAUGGAUACCUGUGGUAAUUCUAGAGCUAAUACAUGCGAAAAAUCCCGACUUCGGAAGGGAUGUAUUUAUUAGACUAAAAACCAAUGCGAGUCCUCGUGGCUCGUUUCUUGGUGAUUCAUGAUAACUUUUCGAAUCGCAUGGCCCUUGCGCCGGCGAUGUUUCAUUCAAAUUUCUGCCCUAUCAACUGUCGAUGGUAAGGUAGUGGCUUACCAUGGUUGUAACGGGUGACGGAGAAUUAGGGUUCGAUUCCGGAGAGGGAGCCUGAGAAACGGCUACCACA
RNAcentral lists this ribosomal RNA (367 nucleotides) under Hybocodon sp. USNM IZ 1450221. RNAcentral's name for it is "SSU rRNA". It matches the Rfam family "Eukaryotic small subunit ribosomal RNA", at positions 51 to 414 of the family's 1831-position model. Lineage: Eukaryota; Metazoa; Cnidaria; Hydrozoa; Anthoathecata; Tubulariidae. The record is from RNAcentral.